AUUGAACGCUGGCGGCAGGCCUAACACAUGCAAGUCGAGCGGAUGAAGGGAGCUUUCUCCUGGAUUCAGCGGCGGACGGGUGAGUAAUUCCUAGGAAUCUGCCUGGUCGUGGGGGCUAACGUCCGGAAACGGGCGCUAAUACCGCAUACGUCCUUAGGUAGAAAGUCGGGGAUCUUCGGACCUCACCCUAUCAGAUGAGCCUAGGUCGGAUUAGCUAGUUGGUGGGGUAAAGGCCUACCAAGGCGACGAUCCGUAACUGGUCUGAGAGGAUGAUCAGUCACACUGGAACUGAGACACGGUCCAGACUCCUACGGGAGGCAGCAGUGGGGAAUAUUGGACAAUGGGCGAAAGCCUGAUCCAGCCAUGCCGCGUGUGUGAAGAAGGUCUUCGGAUUGUAAAGCACUUUAAGUUGGGAGGAAGGGCAGUAAGUUAAUACCUUGCUGUUUUGACGUUACCAACAGAAUAAGCACCGGCUAACUUCGUG
RNAcentral lists this ribosomal RNA (484 nucleotides) under uncultured bacterium. Its description in RNAcentral is "partial 16S ribosomal RNA". It matches the Rfam family "Bacterial small subunit ribosomal RNA", at positions 30 to 507 of the family's 1533-position model. The record is from RNAcentral.